UCUCCGUUGGUGAACCAGCGGAGGGAUCAUUACCGAGUUUUCAACUCCCAAACCCCAUGUGAACUUAUACCAUUUACAACCGUUGCUUCGGCGGGUUCUCGCCCCGGGCUUUACACCCCGGAACCAGGCGGCCCGCCGGGGGACCCAAACUCUAGAUUUUUAUUUUAGCAUGUCUGAGUGGAAUCAUUACAAAAUGAAUCAAAACUUUCAACAACGGAUCUCUUGGUUCUG
This 231-nucleotide unclassified non-coding RNA is filed under the name Pochonia chlamydosporia. RNAcentral describes it as "partial contains small subunit ribosomal RNA, internal transcribed spacer 1, and 5.8S ribosomal RNA". RNAcentral also lists the same sequence under 2 other names. Lineage: Eukaryota; Fungi; Ascomycota; Sordariomycetes; Hypocreales; Clavicipitaceae. The record is from RNAcentral.